Molecule: transfer RNA, 78 nt
Filed under: Austroblechnum melanocaulon
Lineage: Eukaryota; Viridiplantae; Streptophyta; Polypodiopsida; Polypodiales; Blechnaceae
Description: tRNA-Val
Source: RNAcentral
GGGGAUAUAGAUGGCUCAGCGGUAGAGCGCCUCGUUUAAUGACCAAGAGUGUAUACGGUUCGAACCCGUAUAGUCCUA